RNAcentral lists this ribosomal RNA (253 nucleotides) under uncultured bacterium. RNAcentral's name for it is "partial 16S ribosomal RNA". It matches the Rfam family "Bacterial small subunit ribosomal RNA", at positions 524 to 776 of the family's 1533-position model. The record is from RNAcentral.
GACGAAGGUGGCGAGCGUUGUUCGGAAUCACUGGGCAUAAAGAGCACGUAGGCGGCUAAGUCAGUCGGAUGUGAAAUACCUCGGCUCAACCGAGGAACUGCGUCCGAUACUACUUGGCUUGAGGUCCGGAGGGGAGAGUGGAAUUCCCGGUGGAGCGGUGAAAUGCGUAGAGAUCGGGAAGAACGCCGGCGGCGAAAGCGACUCUCUGGUCGGAAUCUGACGCUGAGGUGCGAAAGCUAGGGGAGCAAACGGG